RNAcentral lists this transfer RNA (66 nucleotides) under Pomacea canaliculata. Its description in RNAcentral is "tRNA-Leu". It matches the Rfam family "tRNA". From Rfam's summary of the family: Transfer RNA (tRNA) molecules are approximately 80 nucleotides in length. Their secondary structure includes four short double-helical elements and three loops (D, anti-codon, and T loops). Further hydrogen bonds mediate the characteristic L-shaped molecular structure. tRNAs have two regions of fundamental functional importance: the anti-codon, which is responsible for specific mRNA codon recognition, and the 3' end, to which the tRNAs corresponding amino acid is attached (by aminoacyl-tRNA synthetases). tRNAs cope with the degeneracy of the genetic code in two manners: having more than one tRNA (with a specific anti-codon) for a particular amino acid; and 'wobble' base-pairing, i.e. permitting non-standard base-pairing at the 3rd anti-codon position. The record is from RNAcentral. Lineage: Eukaryota; Metazoa; Mollusca; Gastropoda; Architaenioglossa; Ampullariidae.
ACAAAAAUGGCAGAUAAGUGCAUUAGAUUUAGGCUCUAGAUAUAAAGAUUAUAUUCUUUUUUUUGU